GGAUGAACGCUGGCGGCGUGCCUAAUACAUGCAAGUCGAGCGAACAGACGAGGAGCUUGCUCCUCUGACGUUAGCGGCGGACGGGGGAGUAACACGUGGAUAACCUACCUAUAAGACUGGGAUAACUUCGGGAAACCGGAGCUAAUACCGGAUAAUAUAUUUAACCGCAUGGUUCAAUAGUGAAAGACGGUUGUGCUGUCACUUAUAGAUGGAUCCGCGCCGCAUUAGCUAGUUGGUAAGGUAACGGCUUACCAAGGCAACGAUGCGUAGCCGACCUGAGAGGGUGAUCGGCCACACUGGAACUGAGACACGGUCCAGACUCCUACGGGAGGCAGCAGUAGGGAAUCUUCCGCAAUGGGCGAAAGCUUGACGGAGCAACGCCGCGUGAGUGAUGAAGGUCUUCGGAUCGUAAAACUCUGUUAUUAGGGAAGAACAAAUGUGUAAGUAACUAUGCACGUCUUGACGGUACCUAAUCAGAAAGCCACGGCUAACUACGUG
RNAcentral lists this ribosomal RNA (498 nucleotides) under uncultured bacterium. RNAcentral describes it as "partial 16S ribosomal RNA". It matches the Rfam family "Bacterial small subunit ribosomal RNA", at positions 27 to 507 of the family's 1533-position model. The record is from RNAcentral.